GACAGAGGAUGCAAGCGUUAUCCGGAAUGAUUGGGCGUAAAGCGUCUGUAGGUGGCUUUUCAAGUCCGCCGUCAAAUCCCAGGGCUCAACCCUGGACAGGCGGUGGAAACUACCAAGCUGGAGUACGGUAGGGGCAGAGGGAAUUUCCGGUGGAGCGGUGAAGUGCAUUGAGAUCGGAAAGACACCAACGGCGAAAGCACUCUAGCUGGGCCGACACUGACACUGAGAGACGAAAGCUAGGGGAGCAAAUGGAUU
This 255-nucleotide ribosomal RNA is filed under the name uncultured bacterium. Its description in RNAcentral is "partial 16S ribosomal RNA". It matches the Rfam family "Bacterial small subunit ribosomal RNA", at positions 524 to 778 of the family's 1533-position model. The record is from RNAcentral.